RNAcentral lists this long non-coding RNA (1706 nucleotides) under Anas platyrhynchos (mallard). RNAcentral describes it as "lncRNA (ENSAPLG00020006486.1)". The record is from RNAcentral. Lineage: Eukaryota; Metazoa; Chordata; Aves; Anseriformes; Anatidae.
GGUUGGCCUGAAAGCCCAAGUUCUAAAUGCUUCUUAUGUUUUUUUUUUUUUUUUGUUUCUUUUUUAACUGUAAUUCUGCAGUUUAUGGUAUAAAACAACAGCUAGAGCACAUGGAAGAGAGAAGAUAGGCAUGUUGGAUAGGCAUGGUGUAGUCAUGGACUCUAUUUUCAGUGAUUGACUCAAAAGAAUAUUUUCACACUUAGGACAUUUUUCAAACUAACUUUCAAAGUCUUAUACAGAGUAGUAAAUUAAUUGGUUUCUGAAAUGGAUGAUGAAAUGGCAGGAGCAUGUCGAGCAAACUGAAUGUCACCCACUAAUGGCCAGAAUAGCGAUUCCUUUCGGGAAAUUGCUGUUCUGGAGUUUACUUCUUUAAAAUUGCAGGUCUAGACUUCCCCCUUAAGGGGAUGAAGAUGGUAGUCUCAACUCUUCCCCAUACAACGUGGCAUUAAGGAGAAGUAUGUCUCAAGUGUAUUAGUAAGUGUCAGUAUCUGCCACUAUGGUCCACACUUGAGGUGUUAUAUAAUCUUUCCUUUUCAAUAACAUUUUAUAUUAAAAUAGGAAAAUAUUGCUCGUGCUUUCUGCCUCCAGCACAGCCUGCAUCUCAACACUUGGCCUUCUGUAAGGCCAAGUUUCCUAGUCACUUCUCUACAGGGAGCACAGCACAUUUGAAUUCUCAUAUGUGCUGAGAGCCAUGAGAAGCUGCUGGGGUCCAGGCUAACACGAUGACAAAGGUAUAAAUAUUCCCACACAGUGCCACUUUGUCAGUAGUCAUUCACUGGGCACUUAAAGUUGAAAACCAUUGCUCAAGAUGUACAGUCAUUUAUGCCCAGCUUGGAUUACGUUUCUAGGAGAGAAGAGGUAUAAGGUUUAGUUCAGACAUUUAGUAGUGUGGCUGAGAUACUAUCAUCUUUUUGGACAAGGAGCCAGUUUUGGGUUUAAUUUAUAUUUUCUUUAUACAGGUUUCUCUCAAGAAGAACUAUCGUUCGCUGCUUGUGAUUCGACUGCCAGUGCUACAAGUGCUCGAUGGAACAGCAGUAAAUGCAGAAGAGAGGUUGAAAGCUGACUAUCAGUGCCUAGAACAAGAUUUCCAAGCUGCAAAUUCCCCAAAGAACUCUGGAUUUCCUGCACUACCAGCAAAUUUUACAAGACAAACUCCUCUCAGAAUAGCAAAUGUGAAUCUGAAUGAAAACAUUAACCGUUUCUUUGAUUUUACAUUUGGCCGUGAACUUAAAGAACCUCUACUGAAUAAGUCAAAUAAAAGUAAGUCUAGGAUCCCAGGAAUUAGAACAUAUAAUCUUCAAAGCAUCCAUGUACAAAGAACUCUUAGGCAAGCCAAAGGAGCAUCAACUAAUCUAAACCGUUUGGUGCAUCACAGUGCUACUUCUAAGACCAGCCAACUAAAUCAGAGCAACCAGCAGGUGAGGCUCCUACCAGCCCUAAGCACAGCUUCUUUUUCUUUGCUUUGUUAAGGGGAGGUGUAUAGGUGUCAGAACCAAAGCACCUCUCUUCCUCCUUCCUUUGCCUGAUGGGGAAUUCCACAUCCACCAAAAUUUUUUUCUCUUUCUUCUUAUAAAACUUGCAAUGCAUCUAGGAAAGCAUCAUAGAAAACAAUUUAAAAUUUUACCAUUAGAACAAUGACUAUUAAAUGGAGUCAGACAUCUAACAAAGAUAAGCUCAUAUCUCCUAAGUCCAUGGUUAGUCCUGUU